Molecule: non-coding RNA, 77 nt
Organism: Paramuricea clavata
Lineage: Eukaryota; Metazoa; Cnidaria; Anthozoa; Malacalcyonacea; Plexauridae
Source: the annotation of a GenBank genome assembly
GACCUCGUAGCUCAGUUGCUAGAGCAUUAAUUGGAGUAGCAUCCCAAAGGUCGCGGUUUCGAUUCCCACCGUGGUCA